RNA transcript from Fragaria vesca subsp. vesca, 1124 nucleotides. RefSeq lists it as uncharacterized. NCBI's taxonomy places the organism in Eukaryota, Viridiplantae, Streptophyta, Magnoliopsida, Rosales, Rosaceae. The record is from RefSeq and is a predicted model, not a curated record. The transcript is spliced from 2 exons.
GGGAAAGCGAAUACGAUGUCCAGUUGUUGUCACACUAAAUCACAUAUGGUUAUGAUCAGGGAUAUGGAAGAUACGAAUCUAAGCAAUACUUCAAUUUCUACAUAUCUCUGUGAUCAAUACUUCAAUUUAGCAAAGGAUGAUGCACCAUAAUCUAUCAAGGUUUAGCACUUCCAAUACUUCAUCUAAGUAGCUUCAAUGAAGUAUCUCUUUGAUAUUUUGUUUUCAUUGUUCAUCAGUACCUGCUUCUGAGUCAUAUGGGUUCCUAAUAGUUUAAGGGAUGUGGUCAUUUUCAUCUAAGUUCACUCUGUUGUAAAUGCGCUAUUGUAAAUGUGCUAUCGUAAAUGUAUGCAUUAUGCAUUGCGCGAAUGUGAUUGAAGCUGAUCAAAUGCAUUGGUGCAAUAUUCUAACACUUGCAAAACUGAAACUGGAAGCUGAAAUUUUGAAAACUGAUCAAAUGUAUGCGUUAUGUAUGAAUCAUUGUUUUUCUAAUAUAAUAUAAAAUACAUCUUUUCGAAUUAAAAUUAAAACUACCAUGUUCCUGUCUAUGAUCUAUGCAAGUUUAUGUUUGUGUAAACACUGCUAAAUACACUUAGCAUCACUAUUCCUUAAAAUUCUCCCUUCUCAAUAUAUAUGCCUUAUUGUGUUUGCUCAUUUCUGUUCAUGAUUACCUAUAUAUUCUGAUUCAGGGAAAACUGAGAUUUCAGUUGCAGAAGUGUUCAUUCGUUUCAAUGUGACCAGGGGCAUCCUUUUACCUUAUAACUUAUAAUAACAAAGCAAUUGGAUGGUUUUCUCUACUGCAGGUGUGAGGAGAGGCAUACCUAUACCCUAAAUUAUAAGAUAGUUUCAUCUAUAUGUAUCCAAUUUCAUAGAAUUCUUAACAGAAGAUGGUUCUUCAUGUAUCUUUCAUGUUCAAUUUCAACUGUUUUAUUCCAUUUGCAUUUCCACUUCUACAUAUAAUUUUUUUACAGUUUCCACUGUUUAGAGUGUUGCCUUAAUUAUUUUUGCUCUCCACAAUGAACCCUUGUAUAUAUAUUGUCCUUCCACCUGGUAAGAAAAUAUUUAAUGAAUGAAACUGUCGUACUCCAUUAACACAGACAACGUUGCAAAAAACCGCGGCAAGCCGC